CUGGCACGAUGGAGAACUGCAUGAAGAGGCAGCGGAGUGCUGUCUGUCCCCACCCUUCCCCGCCCGGCCUCCAACUGGUGGGAACUGGAUUUUGCCGCUGCAAAUGACUUCCCCAUAUUUUGCCACAUUAACAGCUGACUGCACACCUGAGCCCCUAGGCAAUGCGGUGUGCAGAGGGUGCUUGGUGGUUCUCUCCUGAUGGCCCCGCAGGGUCUGCAGCCUCCAUCUGGCCAGCAGAAGGCGCAGAAAGACUGCCUGGGCAGCUCGGACGUGACCGCCUGGAAGUGGUGUACAGCGUUCCUGACAACGUUCCCGGCCAAAACGGGUCCCGCCGCCCACUUGUGUGCAAGAUAACUGGAAAAUGUCUUUCUGUGUGCUCCGAGGAGAAUGCAAAGGCUGGUGGAUGUAGUGCCUUUCCUCUACUGCUCUCUCAGCUGGGGGCAAGAAUGACAGGACGUGAACAUGCACACAAGGGCCCGGAACUCACGACCCCCGACAGCGGUCUCCCCCGCCCCCCCAACCCCGCGCUUGCAGGAUUUAGGGCACUAGCACAGCACAGUCCACCCCUUGGGACUAGCACCCCCUCCGCAGUUCUGCUCUCUGCAGCAACAUAGAGUACAAAUAUUGUUCCUUUUGUUUCUUUUUUCCCUUUGGAUACAUUUUUAAUUACAAAAAUAGAGCUUGAUUGUUGCACCUA
RNAcentral lists this unclassified non-coding RNA (697 nucleotides) under Homo sapiens (human). RNAcentral's name for it is "SLC67A1 antisense RNA (ENSG00000274454.4)". The record is from RNAcentral. Lineage: Eukaryota; Metazoa; Chordata; Mammalia; Primates; Hominidae.